AGAAAUAUGAGUUUGUUUUUAAAAGGAAGAGAAAGAGCCAAGAGUGAAGGGAAGUAGAAGAAAUGGAUCGAGUGACAGCAAGAGAAGCAAGCAUUACUUUCUGGAUCAGUACGGUUACCAGAAUCAGCAUCUUCCUUCAGCAUAAGACAAGGUCACUGGCAUGUAUUUAGCAUCACGUUGUUAAACACUUGAAGAUUGGUGCCCGUGGUCCCAAGGGUUCCCUGAGAGCCUUCGGAACCCUCUACAUGGAUGGAGGGAUCAGAGCUCAAGCCCUGGCUGGAGGCUGAUGGACUCUCCCUCUGUGUUGUCAAGUGGCAGGGCUGCAGCUGACCAAGGCGACCACCAUUCUGUUUCUCUGCUGCGUCAGAUUCAAAACUGAUGAACCCAGAAUGGGGCUCAUCAAUUUCAAAA
Long non-coding RNA from Lagenorhynchus albirostris (white-beaked dolphin), 411 nucleotides. RefSeq lists it as uncharacterized. The transcript is spliced from 3 exons. Lineage: Eukaryota; Metazoa; Chordata; Mammalia; Artiodactyla; Delphinidae. The record is from RefSeq and is a predicted model, not a curated record.